GAUGAACGCUGGCGGCGUGCCUAAUACAUGCAAGUCGAGCGAACGGACGAGAAGCUUGCUUCUCUGAUGUUAGCGGGUGACGGGUGAGUAACACGUGGAUAACCUACCUAUAAGACUGGGAUAACUUCGGGAAACCGGAGCUAAUACCGGAUAAUAUUUUGAACCGCAUGGUUCAAAAGUGAAAGACGGUCUUGCUGUCACUUAUAGAUGGAUCCGCGCUGCAUUAGCUAGUUGGUAAGGUAACGGCUUACCAAGGCAACGAUGCAUAGCCGACCUGAGAGGGUGAUCGGCCACACUGGAACUGAGACACGGUCCAGACUCCUACGGGAGGCAGCAGUAGGGAAUCUUCCGCAAUGGGCGAAAGCCUGACGGAGCAACGCCGCGUGAGUGAUGAAGGUCUUCGGAUCGUAAAACUCUGUUAUUAGGGAAGAACAUAUGUGUAAGUAACUGUGCACAUCUUGACGGUACCUAAUCAGAAAGCCACGGCUAACUACGUG
Molecule: ribosomal RNA, 497 nt
Filed under: uncultured bacterium
Lineage: Bacteria
Description: partial 16S ribosomal RNA
Rfam family: Bacterial small subunit ribosomal RNA
Source: RNAcentral